Chinchilla lanigera (long-tailed chinchilla) is the source of this 1034-nucleotide non-coding RNA. The record is from the annotation of a RefSeq genome assembly. Lineage: Eukaryota; Metazoa; Chordata; Mammalia; Rodentia; Chinchillidae.
UGUUAAACUGCGGGUCAUGUCACAAAGCUUUGGCAAAAGCUAUGAUUUUUGUAGAGGUUGUGACAAUUGUGGUAGCUCAGGUUGGAUCAAGAUAUUUGGAGAAGGGACUAAACUCACUGUAUCUCCCCCUGGUAAAAGCUUUAACAACGGUAUUUCCGCCAAGCCCACCAUUUUUCUCCCUUCUGUGACUGAAACAAAUCUCUAUAAGGCUGGGACAUAUCUUUGUCUUCUGGAGAAUUUUUUCCCUGAUGUUAUUAAAGUAUAUUGGAAGAGAACAGAUGACAAUAAGAUUCUGGAAUCCCAGCAGGGAGAUACCAUGAAAACUAACAACACCUACAUGAAGUUUAGCUGGUUAACUGUAACUACAGAUUUUAUGACUAAAGAGCACAAAUGUAUAGUCAAACACGAGGCUAAUGGAGGAGUUGAUCAAGAGAUCCUCUUUGAUCCCAUAAAAGAAGUUGUCACUACUGAUUCUGAAGUUUGUUUCAAACAUGAAACUGGUUUGCUACCCCUGCAGCUCACCGGCACCUCUGCCUACUACACCUACCUCCCGUUGCUGUUCAAGAGCGCCAUCCACGGGGCCCUGGUCACCUUCUGCCUGCUUAGAGGGUCCUCGGUCUGCUGUGAUGGGAAGAGGGCCUGACGAACGGAGGCGGAAGUGUCUCCAACGUUUCCAGUUCCCAGCAGCACCUGCUGAGGGUCUGGCCGGCUUGCAUAGCUUGGCCUCCUGAAGUACACUUGCCCAUCAUUUUGUGGUUAUCAUCACCAGCGCGCAAACGCCGCGACUUUCCGCUGCCCCAAGAUGCAGCCCGCACCGCCUGAGCCGCGUCUCCCCAUGACCUCCACAGCCCCUCCAGCCAGCCAGGCCCUCGCACCCUCGAUGUGCACUGCUCCUGCUUCUGGUCGGGGCUCCGCAACCAUGCACCGCGGCACUCCGGAAGCCUCCGCUCUACCCACCCAGACAACGGCCUUGUUUGCCAUUGAACUGCGCUGUUUUUCAUAGUAGACACAAUGCAUUAAAAACGUCAUCACAA